Molecule: ribosomal RNA, 804 nt
Filed under: uncultured bacterium
Lineage: Bacteria
Description: bacterial SSU rRNA
Rfam family: Bacterial small subunit ribosomal RNA
Source: RNAcentral
AGAGUUUGAUCCUGGCUCAGGAUGAACGCUGGCGGCGUGCUUAACACAUGCAAGUCGAACGGGAAACCUUUUAUUGAAGCUUCGGCAGAUUUAACUGGUUUCUAGUGGCGGACGGGUGAGUAACGCGUGGGUAACCUGCCUUGUACAGGGGGAUAACAGUCAGAAAUGACUGCUAAUACCGCAUAAGCGCACAGGACCGCAUGGUCCGGUGUGAAAAACUCCGGUGGUAUAAGAUGGACCCGCGUUGGAUUAGCUAGUUGGCAGGGUAACGGCCUACCAAGGCGACGAUCCAUAGCCGGCCUGAGAGGGUGAACGGCCACAUUGGGACUGAGACACGGCCCAGACUUCUACGGGAGGCAGCAGUGGGGAAUAUUGCACAAUGGGGGAAACCCUGAUGCAGCGACGCCGCGUGGAGGAAGAAGUAUCUCGGUAUGUAAACUUCUAUCAGCAGGGAAGAAAAUGACGGUACCUGACUAAGAAGCCCCGGCUAACUACGUGCCAGCAGCCGCGGUAAUACGUAGGGGGCAAGCGUUAUCCGGAUUUACUUGGUGUAAAGGGAGCGUAGACGGAUGGACAAGUCUGAUGUGAAAGGCUGGGGCUCAACCCCGGGACUGCAUUGGAAACUGCCCGUCUUGAGUGCCGGAGAGGUAAGCGGAAUUCCUAGUGUAGCGGUGAAAUGCGUAGAUAUUAGGAGGAACACCAGUGGCGAAGGCGGCUUACUGGACGGUAACUGACGUUGAGGCUCGAAAGCGUGGGGAGCAAACAGGAUUAGAUACCCUGGUAGUCCACGCGGUAAACGAUGAA